Molecule: ribosomal RNA, 514 nt
Filed under: uncultured bacterium
Lineage: Bacteria
Description: partial 16S ribosomal RNA
Rfam family: Bacterial small subunit ribosomal RNA
Source: RNAcentral
GAUGAACGCUGGCGGCAUGCCUAAUACAUGCAAGUCGAGCGAACAGAUGAGAAGCUUGCUUCUCUGAUGUUAGCGGCGGACGGGUGAGUAACACGUGGGUAACCUACCUAUAAGACUGGGAUAACUCCGGGAAACCGGGGCUAAUACCGGAUAAUAUUUUGAACCGCAUGGUUCAAUAGUGAAAGACGGUUUCGGCUGUCACUUAUAGAUGGACCCGGGCCGUAUUAGCUAGUUGGUAAGGUAACGGCUUACCAAGGCGACGAUACGUAGCCGACCUGAGAGGGUGAUCGGCCACACUGGAACUGAGACACGGUCCAGACUCCUACGGGAGGCAGCAGUAGGGAAUCUUCCGCAAUGGGCGAAAGCCUGACGGAGCAACGCCGCGUGAGUGAUGAAGGUCUUCGGAUCGUAAAACUCUGUUGUUAGGGAAGAACAAAUUUGUUAGUAACUGAACAAGUCUUGACGGUACCUAACCAGAAAGCCACGGCUAACUACGUGCCAGCCGCCGCGGUAA